This is a long non-coding RNA of Gallus gallus (chicken), 688 nucleotides long. NCBI's taxonomy places the organism in Eukaryota, Metazoa, Chordata, Aves, Galliformes, Phasianidae. The record is from Ensembl.
CAAGAAUAGAAAGAGACUUAAUGAUUGUGGUACUUGACUGCUAUUUCCUCUCCAGAAUUAUCUCAACUGUGCAUAGGUUUACUGCUACACUGCCUCUUAGAUAUACUAGGACCUAAGCAAAAUAAAAGGUCUUAUGAUCUAUCAACUUCUUUGAGGAACUCCAACUACUUCUUCUGUCCAUGAAUCAUCUAAAUUGUAUAUAGAAGUUCUGCUCCAAAAGGAACACCUCCUAUUUUAUGAUGUUGGCCCACGACGUCAGAGAAAGAUGUUGGUGGUAUUGGCAGUAGAGGCUGAACCUUCCCACCAAUGUUGCAUUACAUUUUGUUGCUGUGUGACGGAUGGCAGCAGUGGGGCAGUCUGACAAAUGGCGUCUGACAUGGAAGUGUGUAUGGAGCAAAGGUGUGAAACUGAACUUCUCCAUGCAGAAAAAAAUGGAACUCACUGACAUUCAUCGACACUUGCUGAACAUUUAUGGAGACCACACAGUGGAUGCAAGCACAGUGAGGUGGUGGAUGGUGCAUUUCAGCAGUGGCAACGUGAGAUGCCUUCUGCCUUCUUCCCACUCAUGUGGCUGCAGGCCCUCUGGAACAGAGCUCCAGACCAGAUGCAGCCUAUGGGCCACAGAUUCCCACCCUGACCAAAAAGGGAAGCUUUCUCCUGGAAGGAUGAUGGCAGAGGAGAAAAUGCA